Molecule: ribosomal RNA, 449 nt
Filed under: Clostridioides difficile
Lineage: Bacteria; Bacillati; Bacillota; Clostridia; Peptostreptococcales; Peptostreptococcaceae
Description: partial 23S ribosomal RNA
Rfam family: Bacterial large subunit ribosomal RNA
Source: RNAcentral
GGUCAAGUUAUUAAGGGUGCAGGGCGGAUGCCUUGGCACUAGGAGCCGAUGAAGGACGUGAUAAGCUGCGAUAAGCUUCGGGGAGUUGCACGUAAACUUUGAUCCGAAGAUUUCCGAAUGAGGAAACUCACUUAGAGUAAUGUCUAAGUAUCAUUAAGUGAAUACAUAGCUUAAUGAGGGGAACUCAGGGAACUGAAACAUCUAAGUACCUGAAGGAAGAGAAAGAAAUUCGAUUCCGUAAGUAGCGGCGAGCGAACGCGGAUUAGCCCAAACCAAUAAAGUUUUCUUUAUUGGGGUUGCGGACAUAUCAUAACGAAGAGGUAUCGUAAUUGAAGAGGUUUGGAAAGACCCACCACAGAAGGUAAUAGUCCUGUAUGUUAAACGAGAAGACUUUAGAUAUGAUCCAGAGUACCACGGGACACGUGAAACCCUGUGGGAAGCAGGAGGGA